AGCCGCGUAGUGAGAGCCGGGAGUCUUCCUUAGCUUCCCCGCCAUAGGCGUCUUUUCGUAGCCGGGCUGCUCCGGGGAAGGCCUCGUACAGCAUGCAUUCACCAGAAUCCUGUCGGCUUUCCUCUUCUCAUCCAGACGCCUGGCCAGAAUCCUAGAUAAGACUGUGACCCCCAACUUGGACACUCCAUAAGCUUUGUUGUCAAAAACUUGUUGGCUACAAGGAAUUAAAUGUAAAAGGGAAAGGAAGAAAGAAAACACAGAUCAGAGAAGCUGUGCCUUUGAGGAAACAAAUCCUCUUAAGGGGAGGAAGUGUCCUCUUUGAUCUGAGGGCACCCCUCUGGGAGAGAGGCCAGGGGCUGACAGUCAGCUUCGCCAGGUGGGUCACCCGCCCUGGGAAGAGCUGCACCCACCACUGAGGUCCAGGUGGCGCCACCAGUCCCGAAACACCUGCUGCCUUACUCUGGAAACAGUAGGCAAGUUGCUCCCUCUAGUGGCUUAGUAGUUGCUUGGCCUAUUUACUCAGAACCUUGAACAAUUAAGCAAGUCAAAUACAAAUGGUCCCUCCCUUCUGAUGGUUCCACUUAGGACUUACUGAUUUCACUGAUGGGUGAGGACAGCGAUAUGCAUUCUGCAGAAUCUGUAUUUGGAGCCCCCAUACAACCAUUCUGCAUUUCACUUUCAGUACAGAUUCAAUAAAUUACAGAAGAUACUCAACACUUUAUGAU
Piliocolobus tephrosceles (Ugandan red Colobus) is the source of this 725-nucleotide long non-coding RNA. RefSeq lists it as uncharacterized. NCBI's taxonomy places the organism in Eukaryota, Metazoa, Chordata, Mammalia, Primates, Cercopithecidae. The record is from RefSeq and is a predicted model, not a curated record. The transcript has 3 exons.